AUAUUGUACGUUGAGUGCAGGUGAGAAGCUGCGUUCAGGUUUGAGCCGAGCGAAGCGAGACAGCGUUGCGCUUGCCGCAACGACCCGAAGGGCGAGGGCAAAGCCCGAGUCAUCCUGCACGACCCACCA
Molecule: small RNA, 129 nt
Filed under: Providencia alcalifaciens
Lineage: Bacteria; Pseudomonadati; Pseudomonadota; Gammaproteobacteria; Enterobacterales; Morganellaceae
Description: RtT sRNA
Rfam family: RtT RNA
About the family: This family represents a bacterial cis-regulatory element known as RtT RNA.
Source: RNAcentral